RNAcentral lists this ribosomal RNA (482 nucleotides) under uncultured bacterium. Its description in RNAcentral is "bacterial SSU rRNA". It matches the Rfam family "Bacterial small subunit ribosomal RNA", at positions 28 to 507 of the family's 1533-position model. The record is from RNAcentral.
GACGAACGCUGGCGGCGUGCCUAACACAUGCAAGUCGAGCGGAGAUUAGUUUGCGGCGACUUCGGUCAAAGCGGACUAAAACUUAGCGGCAGACGGGUGAGUAACACGUAGGUAACCUGCCCAUCACACGGGGACAGCCCUGGGAAACCGGGGGUAAUACCGCAUAACAUACACAAACUGCAUGGUAAGUGUAUCAAAGGAGCAAUCCGCUUUAAGAUGGGCCCGCGGCUGAUUAGCUAGUUGGUAAGGUAACGGCUUACCAAGGCGACGAUCAGUAGCCGACCUGAGAGGGUGACCGGCCACACUGGAACUGAGACACGGUCCAGACUCCUACGGGAGGCAGCAGUGGGGAAUAUUGCGCAAUGGGGGGAACCCUGACGCAGCAACGCCGCGUGGAGGAAGAAGGUCUUCGGAUUGUAAACUCCUGUCUUCUGGGACGAAUAAUGACGGUACCAGAGGAGGAAGCCACGGCUAACUACGUG